RNAcentral lists this ribosomal RNA (466 nucleotides) under uncultured bacterium. Its description in RNAcentral is "partial 16S ribosomal RNA". It matches the Rfam family "Bacterial small subunit ribosomal RNA", at positions 28 to 507 of the family's 1533-position model. The record is from RNAcentral.
GAUGAACGCUGGCGGCGUGCUUAACACAUGCAAGUCGAACGGAAAGGCUCCUGCUUGCAGGGGUACUCGAGUGGCGAACGGGUGAGUAACACGUGGGUGAUCUGCCCUGCACUUCGGGAUAAGCCUGGGAAACUGGGUCUAAUACCGGAUAGGACGAUGGUUUGGAUGCCAUUGUGGAAAGUUUUUUCGGUGUGGGAUGAGCUCGCGGCCUAUCAGCUUGUUGGUGGGGUAAUGGCCUACCAAGGCGUCGACGGGUAGCCGGCCUGAGAGGGUGUACGGCCACAUUGGGACUGAGAUACGGCCCGGACUCCUACGGGAGGCAGCAGUGGGGAAUAUUGCACAAUGGGCGCAAGCCUGAUGCAGCGACGCCGCGUGGGGGAUGACGGCCUUCGGGUUGUAAACUCCUUUCGCUAGGGACGAAGCGCAAGUGACGGUACCUGGAGAAGAAGCACCGGCUAACUACGUG